This 255-nucleotide ribosomal RNA is filed under the name uncultured bacterium. Its description in RNAcentral is "partial 16S ribosomal RNA". It matches the Rfam family "Bacterial small subunit ribosomal RNA", at positions 524 to 778 of the family's 1533-position model. The record is from RNAcentral.
GACGAACCGUGCGAACGUUGUUCGGAAUCACUGGGCUUAAAGGGCGCGUAGGCGGAUCAGUAAGUCAAGGGUGAAAUCCUCCGGCUUAACCGGAGAACAGCCCUUGAUACUGCUGGUCUCGAGGGAGAUAGGGGUCAUGGGAACUUCUGGUGGAGCGGUGAAAUGCGUUGAUAUCAGAAGGAACGCCGGUGGCGAAAGCGCAUGACUGGACCUCUUCUGACGCUGAUGCGCGAAAGCUAGGGGAGCGAACGGGGA